Homo sapiens (human) is the source of this 340-nucleotide non-coding RNA. NCBI's taxonomy places the organism in Eukaryota, Metazoa, Chordata, Mammalia, Primates, Hominidae. The record is from the annotation of a RefSeq genome assembly.
AUGGCCUGGACCCUCCCCUGCUCACCCUCCCGACUCUCUGCAUAGGCUGUGUGGCCUCCUCUGAGCUGACUCAGCUGCCUGCAGUGUCUGUGGCUUUGGGACGUACGGCCAGGAUCAUCUGCCAGGGAGAUAGCAUAGGUGACUCUGAUACAAACUCGUACCAGCAGAAGCCAGGUCAGGUCCCUGUGCUGGUAAUUUAUGGUGACAGCAACCAGCCCUCAGUGAUUCCUGAGCAAUUUUCUGACUGCAUAUCAGAGGACAUGGCCACCUUGAUUAUUAAUGGGGCACAGGAUGGAAACAAGGCUAUUACUGUCGCUCGGAACAGCACUGCUUCUCAUCU